RNAcentral lists this ribosomal RNA (452 nucleotides) under uncultured bacterium. RNAcentral describes it as "partial 16S ribosomal RNA". It matches the Rfam family "Bacterial small subunit ribosomal RNA", at positions 28 to 507 of the family's 1533-position model. The record is from RNAcentral.
GAUGAACGCUGGUGGCGUGCCUAACACAUGCAAGUCGAGCGAUUCUCUUCGGAGAAGAGCGGCGGACGGGUGAGUAACGCGUGGGUAACCUGCCCUGUACACACGGAUAACAUACCGAAAGGUAUGCUAAUACGAGAUAACAUGCUUUUAUCGCAUGGUAGAAGUAUCAAAGCUUUUGCGGUACAGGAUGGACCCGCGUCUGAUUAGCUAGUUGGUGAGGUAACGGCUCACCAAGGCGACGAUCAGUAGCCGACCUGAGAGGGUGAUCGGCCACAUUGGAACUGAGACACGGUCCAAACUCCUACGGGAGGCAGCAGUGGGGAAUAUUGCACAAUGGGCGAAAGCCUGAUGCAGCAACGCCGCGUGAGCGAUGAAGGCCUUCGGGUCGUAAAGCUCUGUCCUCAAGGAAGAUAAUGACGGUACUUGAGGAGGAAGCCCCGGCUAACUACGUG